This 74-nucleotide transfer RNA is filed under the name Perkinsus marinus ATCC 50983. It matches the Rfam family "tRNA". From Rfam's summary of the family: Transfer RNA (tRNA) molecules are approximately 80 nucleotides in length. Their secondary structure includes four short double-helical elements and three loops (D, anti-codon, and T loops). The record is from Rfam by way of RNAcentral. Lineage: Eukaryota; Perkinsozoa; Perkinsida; Perkinsidae.
GCUGUAAUGGUCUAGUUGGUUAUGACGACUGCCUAACACGCAGUAGGUCCCGAGUUCGAUUCUCGGUUCCAGUA